RNAcentral lists this ribosomal RNA (463 nucleotides) under uncultured bacterium. RNAcentral describes it as "partial 16S ribosomal RNA". It matches the Rfam family "Bacterial small subunit ribosomal RNA", at positions 28 to 507 of the family's 1533-position model. The record is from RNAcentral.
GACGAACGCUGGCGGCGUGCUUAACACAUGCAAGUCGAACGGAAAGGCCUUUUCGGAGGUACUCGAGUGGCGAACGGGUGAGUAACACGUGGGUGAUCUGCCCUGCACUCUGGGAUAAGCCUGGGAAACUGGGUCUAAUACCGGAUAGGACCGCACUUUAGUGUGUGUGGUGGAAAGUUUUUUCGGUGUAGGAUGAGCCCGCGGCCUAUCAGCUUGUUGGUGGGGUAAUGGCCUACCAAGGCGGCGACGGGUAGCCGGACUGAGAGGUUGGUCGGCCACAUUGGGACUGAGAUACGGCCCAGACUCCUACGGGAGGCAGCAGUGGGGAAUAUUGCACAAUGGGCGCAAGCCUGAUGCAGCGACGCCGCGUGGGGGAUGACGGCCUUCGGGUUGUAAACUCCUUUCGCCAGGGACGAAGUGUUUUGUGACGGUACCUGGAGAAGAAGCACCGGCUAACUACGUG